CCCCGCCCUCUGCAUGAGGAUUAUAAAUUAUAUGCCGCUACUUUGUGAUGGUAUCUUGAGUAACUUAGUUGGGGCAUUAAAGGCUAUACCUUUAAAAAGGUUUCAAAACACGAACACAAAUUUUUGAGAGUCCUCCCUUUAAGGACAGGAGCCUCUUGCCCUCCCCUGGCGUGUGGAACGGGACCGGAUCAUUCAGUCAGGUUUAGAGGGCAGAAGUGAUGGCCGUGCUCUGGGAAGGUGGAGCUUACUCAGCCCUGCAGCUUCCUUGUCUUCAGAGUGUGUUAGCCGACAGGAAGAGGCUUCGUGGUGAGCAGCAGAGGCCUGCAGACAAUAACCACAGGAGUGAGCCAUCUUGGAAGCAGAUCCCCAGCCUCCACCAACACCUCAGUUGCUUGACAACAUCCUGACCACAGACAGCCACAGAAGAGAGCCGGAACCACACACGUUCAGCAGAAGCUGCUGCGCUUGAAUCCUUGAAUCCUGACCCACUCAAGGUGCCUCAGCCACCUCCAUAUUGGAAGCCAAAUGUUUUUUUACUAAGUUUCUAUUGUUCUAUUUUACCAAUGAAAGACUCAGGAGCCAGUUGCUGGGAUGAAAACCUGCUAGCUCAAAGAAGCAGAGAAAGCAGCGGAAUGACCUUCCUCCUCAGUCAAUGUCUCAGAAAAAAAGAAUUUCUCCUAUAUCCUCUGAAACAAGAUUCCUCCAACCAGAUGUCCUUCCCUUUUAUUUCCUAUGCUCCCAAUUUCCCCUCACUCUCUAUGGUUACUUCCAGUUAACUGAUUGCUUGCUCAACCUCUUGAACCAUGGUUGAUUUUAGUGAAAUAACACAACCUUGGGGUUCACAGUGUGACCAAAUAUCCUGCAACACUGUCUCAACCCUCCCUCCUUCCUCCCACCCCCCCCAAAAAAAACCUGUACUUUCGAUGAAUUGAUUUCCUUUGUCUGUCUGUCCUUCUGGAUAAUUCUACAUUUCCCCCAAAGUAUGGCAUGUUAGUCAAACUUCUUUAUUGCCAUGGCAAACGCCUGACACAAGCAAUUUAAGAAAGAAAUGAUUUCUUUUUCUCAUGGUCUCAGGGGUUCUUU
This 1083-nucleotide long non-coding RNA is filed under the name Cricetulus griseus (Chinese hamster). RNAcentral's name for it is "lncRNA (ENSCGRG00015031884.1)". The record is from RNAcentral. Lineage: Eukaryota; Metazoa; Chordata; Mammalia; Rodentia; Cricetidae.